CCCUUAGAUGUUCUGGGCCGCACGCGUGCUACACUGAGUGGAUCAGCGGGUCAGGUUGCGCGAAAGUGUUUCCUAAUCUUUAAAUCCGCUCGUGAUGGGGAUUGACGGUUGCAAUUUUCCGUCAUGAACGAGGAAUACCUUGUAAGCGCGGGUCAUCAUCCCGCGCUGAAUACGUCCCUGCCCUUUGUACACACCGCCCGUCGCUCCUACCGAUUGAGUGGUCCGGUGAGGCUUUGGGAUCUGAGCGGAAAGAGCGUUUCGCUGUUUCUGCCCGGAAAACUCAGUCGAACCUUAUCAUUUAGAGGAAGGAGAAGUCGUAACAA
Molecule: ribosomal RNA, 323 nt
Filed under: uncultured eukaryote
Lineage: Eukaryota
Description: partial 18S ribosomal RNA
Rfam family: Eukaryotic small subunit ribosomal RNA
Source: RNAcentral